Molecule: ribosomal RNA, 2903 nt
Filed under: Klebsiella variicola
Lineage: Bacteria; Pseudomonadati; Pseudomonadota; Gammaproteobacteria; Enterobacterales; Enterobacteriaceae
Description: bacterial LSU rRNA
Rfam family: Bacterial large subunit ribosomal RNA
Source: RNAcentral
UUAAGCGACUAAGCGUACACGGUGGAUGCCCUGGCAGUCAGAGGCGAUGAAGGACGUGCUAAUCUGCGAAAAGCGUCGGUAAGGUGAUAUGAACCGUUAUAGCCGGCGAUGUCCGAAUGGGGAAACCCAGUGCAAUUCGUUGCACUAUCGUUAACUGAAUACAUAGGUUAACGAGGCGAACCGGGGGAACUGAAACAUCUAAGUACCCCGAGGAAAAGAAAUCAACCGAGAUUCCCCCAGUAGCGGCGAGCGAACGGGGAGCAGCCCAGAGUCUGAAUCAGCUUGUGUGUUAGUGGAACGGUCUGGAAAGUCCGACGGUACAGGGUGAUAGUCCCGUACACCAAAAUGCACAGGUUGUGAACUCGAAGAGUAGGGCGGGACACGUGGUAUCCUGUCUGAAUAUGGGGGGACCAUCCUCCAAGGCUAAAUACUCCUGACUGACCGAUAGUGAACCAGUACCGUGAGGGAAAGGCGAAAAGAACCCCGGCGAGGGGAGUGAAAAAGAACCUGAAACCGUGUACGUACAAGCAGUGGGAGCACCUUCGGGUGUGACUGCGUACCUUUUGUAUAAUGGGUCAGCGACUUAUAUUCUGUAGCAAGGUUAACCGUAUAGGGGAGCCGCAGGGAAACCGAGUCUUAACUGGGCGUUAAGUUGCAGGGUAUAGACCCGAAACCCGGUGAUCUAGCCAUGGGCAGGUUGAAGGUUGGGUAACACUAACUGGAGGACCGAACCGACUAAUGUUGAAAAAUUAGCGGAUGACUUGUGGCUGGGGGUGAAAGGCCAAUCAAACCGGGAGAUAGCUGGUUCUCCCCGAAAGCUAUUUAGGUAGCGCCUCGUGAACUCAUCUUCGGGGGUAGAGCACUGUUUCGGCUAGGGGGUCAUCCCGACUUACCAACCCGAUGCAAACUACGAAUACCGAAGAAUGUUAUCACGGGAGACACACGGCGGGUGCUAACGUCCGUCGUGAAGAGGGAAACAACCCAGACCGCCAGCUAAGGUCCCAAAGUCAUGGUUAAGUGGGAAACGAUGUGGGAAGGCACAGACAGCCAGGAUGUUGGCUUAGAAGCAGCCAUCAUUUAAAGAAAGCGUAAUAGCUCACUGGUCGAGUCGGCCUGCGCGGAAGAUGUAACGGGGCUAAACCAUGCACCGAAGCUGCGGCAGCGACGCUUAUGCGUUGUUGGGUAGGGGAGCGUUCUGUAAGCCUGCGAAGGUGGCCUGUGAGGGCUGCUGGAGGUAUCAGAAGUGCGAAUGCUGACAUAAGUAACGAUAAAGCGGGUGAAAAGCCCGCUCGCCGGAAGACCAAGGGUUCCUGUCCAACGUUAAUCGGGGCAGGGUGAGUCGACCCCUAAGGCGAGGCCGAAAGGCGUAGUCGAUGGGAAACAGGUUAAUAUUCCUGUACUUGGUGUUACUGCGAAGGGGGGACGGAGAAGGCUAUGUUAGCCGGGCGACGGUUGUCCCGGUUUAAGCAUGUAGGCGGAGGUUCCAGGUAAAUCCGGUACCUUUUAACGCUGAGGUGUGAUGACGAGGCACUACGGUGCUGAAGUAACAAAUGCCCUGCUUCCAGGAAAAGCCUCUAAGCAUCAGGUAACAUCAAAUCGUACCCCAAACCGACACAGGUGGUCAGGUAGAGAAUACCAAGGCGCUUGAGAGAACUCGGGUGAAGGAACUAGGCAAAAUGGUGCCGUAACUUCGGGAGAAGGCACGCUGGUGUGUAGGUGAAGUCCCUGCGGAUGGAGCUGAGACCAGUCGAAGAUACCAGCUGGCUGCAACUGUUUAUUAAAAACACAGCACUGUGCAAACACGAAAGUGGACGUAUACGGUGUGACGCCUGCCCGGUGCCGGAAGGUUAAUUGAUGGGGUUAUCCGUAAGGAGAAGCUCUUGAUCGAAGCCCCGGUAAACGGCGGCCGUAACUAUAACGGUCCUAAGGUAGCGAAAUUCCUUGUCGGGUAAGUUCCGACCUGCACGAAUGGCGUAAUGAUGGCCAGGCUGUCUCCACCCGAGACUCAGUGAAAUUGAACUCGCUGUGAAGAUGCAGUGUACCCGCGGCAAGACGGAAAGACCCCGUGAACCUUUACUAUAGCUUGACACUGAACAUUGAGCCUUGAUGUGUAGGAUAGGUGGGAGGCUUUGAAGCGUGGACGCCAGUCUGCGUGGAGCCAACCUUGAAAUACCACCCUUUAAUGUUUGAUGUUCUAACGUUGGCCCCUUAUCGGGGUUGCGGACAGUGUCUGGUGGGUAGUUUGACUGGGGCGGUCUCCUCCCAAAGAGUAACGGAGGAGCACGAAGGUUAGCUAAUCCUGGUCGGACAUCAGGAGGUUAGUGCAAUGGCAUAAGCUAGCUUGACUGCGAGCGUGACGGCGCGAGCAGGUGCGAAAGCAGGUCAUAGUGAUCCGGUGGUUCUGAAUGGAAGGGCCAUCGCUCAACGGAUAAAAGGUACUCCGGGGAUAACAGGCUGAUACCGCCCAAGAGUUCAUAUCGACGGCGGUGUUUGGCACCUCGAUGUCGGCUCAUCACAUCCUGGGGCUGAAGUAGGUCCCAAGGGUAUGGCUGUUCGCCAUUUAAAGUGGUACGCGAGCUGGGUUUAGAACGUCGUGAGACAGUUCGGUCCCUAUCUGCCGUGGGCGCUGGAGAAUUGAGGGGGGCUGCUCCUAGUACGAGAGGACCGGAGUGGACGCAUCACUGGUGUUCGGGUUGUCAUGCCAAUGGCACUGCCCGGUAGCUAAAUGCGGAAGAGAUAAGUGCUGAAAGCAUCUAAGCACGAAACUUGCCCCGAGAUGAGUUCUCCCUGAGACUUUAAGUCUCCUGAAGGAACGUUGAAGACGACGACGUUGAUAGGCCGGGUGUGUAAGCGCAGCGAUGCGUUGAGCUAACCGGUACUAAUGAACCGUGAGGCUUAACCUU